UGGGGGAUCUGUAAUAGAAAUCAAAUCACAUAAAGCUGCCUUGUGCUUAAAGAUGAGUAAAUAUUCAUCAAGUGAUGUUUUAACAAAGCCUUGCAACAAUAAAAGAUAUAACAGCUACCGCUCAAUUACUAAAUCAGAUAAACAAAUAGCUGCAUAGACAUGUUGUCAAAUUGGGUAUCAGAAAUUCUCCCUUUUACUGUUUAAAUUACAGUAAUCACCAUUUUAAUGGCUCUUUGAUUUAAGCUUGUAAUCUAAUUAGGGUAUUUCUGACAACAAGUGAGCGCAGCAUCACUAAAUAGGUCCCUCACUUUAUCUGACAGGACAUGGAUGAAUGGGUUAUAUUACCAGUAGAGGGUAAACAGCAAUGGGAUGGACUGGACUGGCCUUUUGUAAACGCAGUUAACUUUAGUGUAGAGGAGGUAGUGGUGGUAGUAGUAGUAUAAUACUAAUAGAAAUAGCAGUGGGCCUGGCUAUCACCUUAUUGAUCUUGUAUUACUGAAACACUACAAGGAGAGCCAUCAAGAAACCAAAGCUCAAUCAGACACUGCUCACAUCGACAGAAUACACCGGAUAUCAGUCAAGACUAUGUUGGACUAAUGUGUAUUCAGGCUCACAAGAUAAUUAUUUCAUAUCCUAAGAGACAUCACACACACACAGAGGGUCUACACAACAUUAAUUGUAAAUGUAAAAAUAUAAAAUGCUGUGUCCGUGCACAAUAUGCACAUUCGAGCUGAUAUUUUUAAACAUGUAACACAGAAAAUAAGAAAUUCAAAAUGUUUUCCAGGUCCUGCAGUAAUCUCAAAAUCAUCUCCUCUCUUCUCUUCUGAAUUUAAGUGAAAUAUGGCACUGCUGUUGCAUCUGUACUCUUUAAAAAAAAAAACUGUAAUUUCCCACAUAGUCAGAAAGCAGCAGCAGCAGUUUCCUUUCAUGCAUGGUCCUAAUUUUAUAAUUUUCAGUAUUUUUCAUUCUUCACGUUGAAUGCUGAUGCUCUCCUUCCCUGUCACUUCUCUACAGGAAGCCACGGGGUCAGGGCGAGUUGAGUCCCAUGUCAGAAUUGUCCCCACGCUGACCUGCGCCUGACUGGCCUCCCAGCAAAAAGCCCCUGUGAAGGCGUCUCUGUGCUGGACCACCGGCCGCUGUGGGACCUUCUCUCCCUCCUGGCUGUCGGUGCCUCAUUCCACAUGUUGGAUCUGGAUCUCAGUUCUCCUGGAGGUUCAGCCUUUCCUCUUGUCUCUCUCUGUGUCUCAUGCUCCUCUCUGUGUGACUGUAGUCUACAGGAGUACACAGAACACAGGAUUCAGGAUGGACAGGAGGGCGUUUGGCUCAAGCUGUUUGGUGACACCUGUAUAUUGCAAUUUUAUCAUGUUGGUGUGUUCUGUGCGCACAACAUCUAAUGCACGCCUGCCCGACCAGGAGGAGGGGUCUUUCCUCAGCUGCUCCUUCUGAGGUUUCCUCAUCCAAAGCGAGGGUCAGAAAGGACAGAGGGUGCUGAUUGAAAAGCCCCUUAAGGCAAAUUUGAGAUACUGGGUUCGGACUUCAUAUGUUUUAUUUUAUAGAUAUAUCAGAGAAUUGUCUGUUUUUUAAGCUUUAACAGAUGCUCCAUUUAUCACUGCAUCUUGUCAGCACAUUAAAAUACAUAUUGUUUAUGUGAUAGAUAAAUGGCGCUAACCUAAUGGCUGCGUUUGAUAUUUAGCAAUAAAAAAUGACUCCUCUCUGGUAUCUCUCAGAUGAACCAACCCCCCGUUAUCCCAUGAAUACUGUAUCUGGUUUCCCUUUGAAGCCCCGGGACCCUGCAGAGUGACAUGCGACAGAGGAACUGGUCAAAAACCAAGGAAGUGAGCAUGGCAAUAGACUUGUAAAAGAGCCUGCAACAACUGCAAGCAGCAUGGGGUACAAACAGCACUGGGCUGACCUCAGACAAAGUGCAGAGGGAGGCGGGCCGGCUAAAGAUGUAAGGCAAAGAGAGCUGCGCUGAUCCGAAGGUGAAAAACAUCCUCCUCCUCUUCCCCCAGCUGAACAUCUGUCUCCGUGGUGUUGGCUGCAGCACCAACUCUGACACCUCCAGAUGGAGAGCCCGCUGGGAGCGCUGAGGUAUUACCUACAGAGAUGGCAGGGAUCACACCUCUGGAAUGAAGUCCCACACUUGUUUUCUGCACUGUCCCCUUUUUUGUUGUUAAAUCUGCCACUAUUCACCAUAUCGAUUGUCACCUCGCCAGUCCUUGGCCUUGUGACUCUUCGGGAAGCUUUUCGGCUUUUAAAGUAACGCAUGACAACAAACCUCUCAACCCUUUUCUAAUUUACAGUAAUGGGCCGUAUGGUAUUUCAACUGUAACUUCUAUUAGUGGAGCCAUAUUAAUUUUUAAUAUAGUUGUGAGAGAACUGCAUACUCAUGCGGAUGUAUUUCAAAUGAUUGCUGAUUUCCAUUUCCUGGAAACAUCUUUUUUUCUCCAUAGGUCCUGAACUUAUUACACUUUUUAGUUUGCAUGAACCAGAACAUUGGCUAAAUGGCCUGUAAUCUCUUUAGCCUAAAUAUUAAAAGCAAUACCUGCAAAAAUCCAAAGUAUGAGAGGCCCUAGAGUUGACUUCUGCGAGCCACUCUGGUGUCUUGACAGAUUGACUCUGCAUUCAUUUGUGCCUGAACUCUGCGUGAACCUCAGCUUUAGGAAAAAGGGCACCAACAGGCCAGUGCUGCUGGGGCAGAAACUGUGUGUGUGUAAACCCAACACCCAGUGCAAAUAUUGAAACUGCUGCCCCUCUUCACCAUCACAUGAAACUAGGUGGUCAGGUCCGGCAAACGUUUAUCUUUAGGUGAAGCCACAAUGAGCACUAAAUUAACAUUUUCUGAUUUUUAAAAGGAAAACGCGAUUGUUUAAUGAAAAGUAUUUGACUGAAAUUACUUAAAAUACAAAGUGCAUGUCAUUGCAACCUGUGUCAGCUGUCUCCAAGCAGAAUUUGGGUAACAAAUCAAGGGUGAGACCUGGUUCCCUGGAGUUUGUUGUCAUGUUUAGAGCCCCUGGAGGUAUUUGGAGGUGAAAAGGUCACUGGGAACCACCCCAUGUGUUGUGAAAGAUGCCUCUUGUCACAUUAUGCAAGGGGACUUUGGUGAGACUAUUAAUAGAGGUGAAUAUAGAGAAGAAGGUUGCAAUUGCAU
Molecule: long non-coding RNA, 3151 nt
Organism: Epinephelus fuscoguttatus (brown-marbled grouper)
Lineage: Eukaryota; Metazoa; Chordata; Actinopteri; Perciformes; Serranidae
Exons: 3
Source: RefSeq, a predicted model, not a curated record